This 204-nucleotide ribosomal RNA is filed under the name uncultured bacterium. Its description in RNAcentral is "partial 16S ribosomal RNA". It matches the Rfam family "Bacterial small subunit ribosomal RNA", at positions 568 to 771 of the family's 1533-position model. The record is from RNAcentral.
UGCGUAGGUGGCCGGUUAAGUCUGACGUGAAAUCUCCGAGCCUAACUCGGAAACUGCGUCGGAAACUAUCCGGCUCGAGGGUUGGAGGGGGGACUGGAAUACUUGGUGUAGCAGUGAAAUGCGUAGAUAUCAAGUGGAACACCAGUGGCGAAGGCGAGUCCCUGGACAACUCCUGACACUGAGGCACGAAAGCUAGGGGAGAAC